AGAGUUUGAUCCUGGCUCAGAACGAACGCUGGCGGCGUGGAUAAGACAUGCAAGUCGAACGAGAGAAUUGCUAGCUUGCUAAUAAUUCUCUAGUGGCGCACGGGUGAGUAACACGUGAGUAACCUGCCCCCGAGAGCGGGAUAGCCCUGGGAAACUGGGAUUAAUACCGCAUAGUAUCGAAAGAUUAAAGCAGCAAUGCGCUUGGGGAUGGGCUCGCGGCCUAUUAGUUAGUUGGUGAGGUAACGGCUCACCAAGGCGAUGACGGGUAGCCGGUCUGAGAGGAUGUCCGGCCACACUGGAACUGAGACACGGUCCAGACACCUACGGGUGGCAGCAGUCGAGAAUCAUUCACAAUGGGGGAAACCCUGAUGGUGCGACGCCGCGUGGGGGAAUGAAGGUCUUCGGAUUGUAAACCCCUGUCAUGUGGGAGCAAAUUAAAAAGAUAGUACCACAAGAGGAAGAGACGGCUAACUCUGUGCCAGCAGCCGCGGUAAUACAGAGGUCUCAAGCGUUGUUCGGAAUCACUGGGCGUAAAGCGUGCGUAGGCUGUUUCGUAAGUCGUGUGUGAAAGGCGCGGGCUCAACCCGCGGACGGCACAUGAUACUGCGAGACUAGAGUAAUGGAGGGGGAACCGGAAUUCUCGGUGUAGCAGUGAAAUGCGUAGAUAUCCGAGAGGAACACUCGUGGCGAAAGGCGGGUUCCUGGACAUUUACUGACGCUGAGGCACGAAGGCCAGGGGAGCGAAAGGGAUUAGAUACCCCUGUAGUCCUGGCGUAAACCGGGCACCCUUGGUGUGGGGGGAAUCGACCCCCUGCGUGCCGGAGCUAACGCGUUAAGCGUGCCGGCCUGGGGGAGUACGGUCGCAAGAUUAAAACUCAAAGAAAUUGACGGGGACCCGCACAAGCGGUGGAGUAUGUGGCUUAAUUCGAUGCAACGCGAAGAACCUUACCUGGGCUUGACAUGUAAUGAACAACAUGUGAAAGCAUGCGACUCUUCGGAGGCGUUACACAGGUGCUGCAUGGCCGUCGUCAGCUCGUGUCGUGAGAUGUUUGGUUAAGUCCAGCAACGAGCGCAACCCCUGUUGCCAGUUACCAGCACGUGAAGGUGGGGACUCUGGCGAGACUGCCCAGAUCAACUGGGAGGAAGGUGGGGACGACGUCAGGUCAGUAUGGCCCUUAUGCCCAGGGCUGCACACGUACUACAAUGCCCAGUACAGAGGGGGCCGAAGCCGCGAGGCGGAGGAAAUCCUAAAAACUGGGCCCAGUUCGGAAAGUAGGCUGCAACCCGCCUACACGAAGCCGGAAUCGCUAGUAAUGGCGCAUCAGCUACGGCGCCGUGAAUAAAUUCCCGGGUCUUGUACUCACCGCCCGUCA
RNAcentral lists this ribosomal RNA (1373 nucleotides) under uncultured bacterium. RNAcentral's name for it is "bacterial SSU rRNA". It matches the Rfam family "Bacterial small subunit ribosomal RNA". The record is from RNAcentral.